UGGGGAAUAUUGCACAAUGGGCGCAAGCCUGAUGCAGCCAUGCCGCGUGUGUGAAGAAGGCCUUCGGGUUGUAAAGCACUUUCAGCGAGGAGGAAGGUGGUGAACUUAAUACGUUCAUCAAUUGACGUUACUCGCAGAAGAAGCACCGGCUAACUCCGUGCCAGCAGCCGCGGUAAUACGGAGGGUGCAAGCGUUAAUCGGAAUUACUGGGCGUAAAGCGCACGCAGGCGGUUUGUUAAGUCAGAUGUGAAAUCCCCGGGCUCAACCUGGGAACUGCAUUUGAAACUGGCAAGCUAGAGUCUCGUAGAGGGGGGUAGAAUUCCAGGUGUAGCGGUGAAAUGCGUAGAGAUCUGGAGGAAUACCGGUGGCGAAGGCGGCCCCCUGGACGAAGACUGACGCUCAGGUGCGAAAAGCGUGGGGAGCAAACAGAUUAGNUACCCCUGGUAGUCCACGCUGUAAAACGAUGUCGA
Molecule: ribosomal RNA, 470 nt
Filed under: uncultured bacterium
Lineage: Bacteria
Description: partial 16S ribosomal RNA
Rfam family: Bacterial small subunit ribosomal RNA
Source: RNAcentral